The sequence is a small nucleolar RNA, 107 nucleotides long. It matches the Rfam family "Plant small nucleolar RNA R71". Rfam says of the family: R71 is a member of the C/D box family of snoRNAs containing the C (UGAUGA) and D (CUGA) box motifs. Multiple nearly identical copies of this snoRNA have been identified in Arabidopsis, and it is thought to function as a 2'-O-ribose methylation guide for 18S ribosomal RNA. The record is from Rfam.
AUGCCAUAAUGAGGACACCUUUUGAGCAGUUCUUUGAAUCUUUCCCAAGCCUCGUACAAACUUUCAUCCUCAAGUUGGUGGAAAAAAGUAAUCUCAUUCUGCAACUU